GCGACCUUAGCUCAGCUGGGAGAGCGUCAGACUGAAGUCUUCCAACUCCAGUCAUCUUAAUUGACAUCUGAAGGUCGUGUGUUCGAUCCACACAGGUCGCA
This is a transfer RNA of Trichoderma harzianum, 101 nucleotides long. It matches the Rfam family "tRNA". From Rfam's summary of the family: Transfer RNA (tRNA) molecules are approximately 80 nucleotides in length. Their secondary structure includes four short double-helical elements and three loops (D, anti-codon, and T loops). The record is from Rfam. NCBI's taxonomy places the organism in Eukaryota, Fungi, Ascomycota, Sordariomycetes, Hypocreales, Hypocreaceae.